GACGAACGCUGGCGGCGUGCUUAACACAUGCAAGUCGAACGGAAAGGCCCUGCUUUUGUGGGGUGCUCGAGUGGCGAACGGGUGAGUAACACGUGAGUAACCUGCCCUUGACUUUGGGAUAACUUCAGGAAACUGGGGCUAAUACCGGAUAUGAGCUCCUGCUGCAUGGUGGGGGUUGGAAAGUUUCGGCGGUUGGGGAUGGACUCGCGGCUUAUCAGCUUGUUGGUGGGGUAGUGGCUUACCAAGGCUUUGACGGGUAGCCGGCCUGAGAGGGUGACCGGCCACAUUGGGACUGAGAUACGGCCCAGACUCCUACGGGAGGCAGCAGUGGGGAAUAUUGCACAAUAGGCGGAAGCCUGAUGCAGCAACGCCGCGUGCGGGAUGACGGCCUUCGGGUUGUAAACCGCUUUCGCCUGUGACGAAGCGUGAGUGACGGUAAUGGGUAAAGAAGCACCGGCUAACUACGUG
Molecule: ribosomal RNA, 468 nt
Filed under: uncultured bacterium
Lineage: Bacteria
Description: partial 16S ribosomal RNA
Rfam family: Bacterial small subunit ribosomal RNA
Source: RNAcentral